This 1191-nucleotide long non-coding RNA is filed under the name Oncorhynchus kisutch (coho salmon). RNAcentral describes it as "lncRNA (ENSOKIG00005049868.1)". The record is from RNAcentral. Lineage: Eukaryota; Metazoa; Chordata; Actinopteri; Salmoniformes; Salmonidae.
GGAUGGCGUCCCAGUCCCAUCACCAAGAGCACGGCUGAUCCAAAGCCUAACGUCCCAGAGUGCAGAGUUUGUGAUGGAGGAGCACAUGCAGCUCAGCACUGGACUGUAGACCCAAGAGAGACACUUUUCAGUGACACACUCAUCAUCACUAAAUCAAAGUUAGUCCUCAGCAUCUAAAAAUAAUGUCCACUUACUGAACAAGUUGAAUAGGAAUAGAUGUGAACUAACAAUGGGAUAUUAGAAGUGAGCAUUUUGUCCUUCAUGUCAAUUGUGCAGAUUUGGAUCAUCUUAGGAUGAGUGGGGCACUUUAAUUUAAUAUAUAUAUAUAUAUAUAUAUAUAUAUAUAUAUAUAUAUAUAUAUAUAUAUAUACAGUGGGGCAAAAAAGUAUUUAGUCAGCCACCAAUUGUGCAAGUUCUCCCACUUAAAAAGAUGAGAGGCCUGUAAAUUUUUUAUGAAUUUAUUUACAAAUUAUGGUGGAAAAUAAGUAUUUGGUCAAUAACAAAAGUUUAUCUCAAUACUUUGUUAUAUACCCUUUGUUGGCAAUGACAGAGGUCAAACAUUUUCUGUAAGUCUUCACAAGGUUUUCGCACACUGUUGCUGGUAUUUUGACAUUUGAUGACAUCAGUUCAUCUGAGGCAAAGGAGAAAUGGCUUUCAUCUUUACAACGGCACAUCACCAAAUCCAAGAAAGUGGAAUAUCCCAGCAAUCUAACCAUGAAGGUUGUUCUCAUAAAUAUUGGAACUAGUGCAAUGGGCAGACCCACUGACUACCGGCUCUGGGUUGUCUCAGGGAGAGAGGAAGCCUCAUGCCCUCUUAUUGGUCAUGAGCAUCCCUUCAGUAUUAUCCUAAACUCCUUGAGGGAAACAGACUGCCAAGUCUCAGCAGUCACCAACAACAUCCUGACUGUAGAUGGGAGCCUCUACCUUGAGCACCUUCUCAAAGAUGCUUCCGGCCCAAACUUCAUCCUCAGGCUAAAGGCUGAUGUGGGAGGACUUGGCCGAGCAGUGGAGUCUUACCAGCUGGUCGACUCGUCUGAUUAUUGGGACUGAGAGAAGCAAGAAGGACUUCACUCUCCUAACAGGGAACCUUUUUCCUGCCAUUGGAGAAACUGGUCUUGAAAGAGAUUUUGGGGCUUCUGAAUGAGGUAGACUCCUUGAAAAAGCAACAUGUGACUGAGGACAGUGCUUAUA